GGGCUUGUACUGGUUUCGACAGGGAUCUCGAAGAUGGAGAAGCUAUCCGUAGGCUGAUGCGUCAAAUCGCAAACUUAAAAUUAAACGCUAACGAUAAUUUCGAAUUAGCUGCAGCCUAAAUGCUGCAUGUCAGCCCUGAAGCACUCACACUUUAGGAAUCUGGCACCGACUAUGUGAGAAACGAUGACGGCAAAGCUUUGAGCUGUCAGGCGUAUUAUGAAGCUACUGAACCCGUAAGGAUGUUAGUUUUCGUACGGCAGAGGGAAUGUCAAAUAACUGACUAUGAUAGUAGAAGUACAUGGGACAGGUUUUUGGACGCGGGUUCGAUUCCCGCCAGGUCCACUU
RNAcentral lists this transfer-messenger RNA (345 nucleotides) under Mediterraneibacter faecis. RNAcentral's name for it is "Standard tmRNA". It matches the Rfam family "transfer-messenger RNA". From Rfam's summary of the family: Bacterial tmRNA, also known as 10Sa RNA or SsrA, is named for its dual tRNA and mRNA-like properties. Its role is to liberate the mRNA from a stalled ribosome. Lineage: Bacteria; Bacillati; Bacillota; Clostridia; Lachnospirales; Lachnospiraceae. RNAcentral also lists the same sequence under 2 other names. The record is from RNAcentral.